RNAcentral lists this ribosomal RNA (465 nucleotides) under uncultured bacterium. Its description in RNAcentral is "partial 16S ribosomal RNA". It matches the Rfam family "Bacterial small subunit ribosomal RNA", at positions 28 to 507 of the family's 1533-position model. The record is from RNAcentral.
GACGAACGCUGGCGGCGUGCUUAACACAUGCAAGUCGAACGGAAAGGCCCUGCUUGCAGGGUACUCGAGUGGCGAACGGGUGAGUAACACGUGGGUGAUCUGCCCUGCACUUCGGGAUAAGCCUGGGAAACUGGGUCCAAUACCGGAUAGGAGCCAUUUUUAGUGUGAUGGUUGGAAAGUUUUUUCGGCGUAGGAUGAGCUCGCGGCCUAUCAGCUUGUUGGUGGGGUAAUGGCCUACCAAGGCGGCGACGGGUAGCCGGCCUGAGAGGGUGGACGGCCACAUUGGGACUGAGAUACGGCCCAGACUCCUACGGGAGGCAGCAGUGGGGAAUAUUGCACAAUGGGCGCAAGCCUGAUGCAGCGACGCCGCGUGGGGGAUGACAGCCUUCGGGUUGUAAACUCCUUUCGCUAGGGACGAAGCUUUUUGUGACGGUACCUAGAUAAGAAGCACCGGCUAACUACGUG